GGACGCGAGGCGCGUGACUCAGCGAGGGCAAGAGCAAACGGUUGCUGAGUGCAAACUCUGCGCCCGGACCGGUCCCACGACUAUAAAGAGCAGACCGCCCGCUAGGCAUCAUCACGACUUCCAGAAGCCUGGCUGUCUUCUCGUCCCUUGCUCUGUAACUCCAGCUUCACCAGAUCUCGGAAUGGACCCCAACUGCUCCUGCUCCACCGGCAGCCCCUGCACCUGCUCCAGCUCCUGCGGCUGCAAAAACUGCAAGUGCACCUCCUGCAAGAAGAGCUGCUGCUCUUGCUGCCCCGUGGGCUGCUCCAAGUGUGCCCAGGGCUGUAUCUGCAAAGGGGCAUCGGACAAGUGCACGUGCUGUGCCUGAUGUGAGGACAAUGCCCCUCCCACGUGUAAAUAGUAUGGACCAACCCGGAGUUUUUCAUGCAGCUCUGCCCUGUUUACUAAACCCCCUUUUCUACAAAAUAUGUGAAUAAAAAGCCAUUUUGAUUCUA
Long non-coding RNA from Peromyscus eremicus (cactus mouse), 494 nucleotides. RefSeq lists it as uncharacterized. The record is from RefSeq and is a predicted model, not a curated record. The transcript is spliced from 3 exons. Lineage: Eukaryota; Metazoa; Chordata; Mammalia; Rodentia; Cricetidae.